UACGAAGGGGGCUAGCGUUGCUCGGAAUUACUGGGCGUAAAGCGCACGUAGGCGGCUUUGUAAGUUAGAGGUGAAAGCCCGGGGCUCAACUCCGGAAUUGCCUUUAAGACUGCAUCGCUAGAAUUGUGGAGAGGUAAGUGGAAUUCCGAGUGUAGAGGUGAAAUUCGUAGAUAUUCGGAAGAACACCAGUGGCGAAGGCGGCUCACUGGCCCGGUACUGACGCUGAGGUGCGAAAGCGUGGGGAGCAAACAGG
Molecule: ribosomal RNA, 253 nt
Filed under: uncultured bacterium
Lineage: Bacteria
Description: partial 16S ribosomal RNA
Rfam family: Bacterial small subunit ribosomal RNA
Source: RNAcentral